This 305-nucleotide unclassified non-coding RNA is filed under the name uncultured Rhizophagus. Its description in RNAcentral is "sequence contains ITS2". The record is from RNAcentral. Lineage: Eukaryota; Fungi; Glomeromycota; Glomeromycetes; Glomerales; Glomeraceae.
AACGCAAAUUGCACUCUCUUCGGAGAGUAUGCCUGUUUGAGGGUCAGUAUUAAUAAAAAUCGGCGUGUUGCUCUUUUGUGACGUUCCGGAGUUUGGGUCAUCUUAUAACAACACCCUUUUUCAGGGUAUUUUUAAGAGGCUUAAAAUUGACCUUUUUUGUGCAUUUUUAUAGACGUACAUAAAUUUUUUUUAUUUGUUUAUUCUAAUGCCAAAAUCUAUUAGAUGCGACCAUAUCAUGUGGUUCCGUGUCUAUAAAUUUUUCAUGAUUUGACCUCAAAUCAGGUAAGAACACCCGCUGAACUUAA